CAGUCGCCGCGGAAUACGUAGGUGGCGAGCAUUGUCCGGAACCAUUGGGCGUAAAGGGAGCGCAGGCGGGCAUGUAAGUCUUUCUUAAAAGUUCGGGGCUCAACCCCGUGAUGGGAAAGAAACUACAUGUCUUGAGUACAGGAGAGGAAAGCGGAAUUCCCAGUGUAGCGGUGAAAUGCGUAGAUAUUGGGAGGAACACCAGUGGCGAAGGCGGCUUUCUGGACUGCAACUGACGCUGAGGCUCGAAAGCCAGGGGAGCGAACGGGAUUAGAUACCCCCGUAGUCCCUGUCUCUUAUACAC
Molecule: ribosomal RNA, 301 nt
Filed under: uncultured bacterium
Lineage: Bacteria
Description: partial 16S ribosomal RNA
Rfam family: Bacterial small subunit ribosomal RNA
Source: RNAcentral